This 865-nucleotide ribosomal RNA is filed under the name uncultured Methanocella sp. RNAcentral's name for it is "bacterial SSU rRNA". It matches the Rfam family "Archaeal small subunit ribosomal RNA", at positions 1 to 873 of the family's 1478-position model. The record is from RNAcentral. Lineage: Archaea; Methanobacteriati; Methanobacteriota; Methanomicrobia; Methanocellales; Methanocellaceae.
UUCCGGUUGAUCCUGCCGGGGGUCACUGCUAUCGGUGUCCGAUUAAGCCAUGCGAGUCGAGAGGUGUAAGACCUCGGCAGACUGCUCAGUAACACGUGGAUAACCUGCCCAAGGGUCCGGGAUAACCCCGGGAAACUGGGGAUAAUACCGGAUGGGUCACCAGUGCUGGAAUGCUUGGUGGUCGAAAGGUGACGCCUUUGGAUGGGUCUGCGGCGGAUUAGGUUGACGCCGGUGUAACGUACCGGCGUGCCUGUAAUCCGUACGGGUUGUGGGAGCAAGAGCCCGGAGAUGGAUUCUGAGACACGAAUCCAGGCCCUACGGGGCGCAGCAGGCGCGAAAACUCUACAAUGCAGGCAACUGCGAUAGGGGGACAUCGAGUGGCAUCCACCUUGGGUGUCUGUCCAACCGUCUAAAAAACGGUUGUUAGCAAGGGCCGGGCAAGACCGGUGCCAGCCGCCGCGGUAAUACCGGCGGCUCGAGUGGUGGCCGAUAUUAUUGAGUCUAAAGGGUCCGUAGCCGGCUUUGCAAGUCCCCUGGGAAAUCCGGCGGCUUAACCGUUGGGCUUUCAUGGGAUACUACAUUGCUUGGGACUGGGAGAGGUAGGAGGUACUCGGGGGGUAGGGGUGAAAUCCUGUAAUCCUCCGGGGACCACCGGUGGCGAAGGCGUCCUACCAGAACAGGUCCGACGGUGAGGGACGAAAGCUAGGGGCACGAACCGGAUUAGAUACCCGGGUAGUCCUAGCCGUAAACGAUGCCCGCUAGGUGUCACGACGGUCGUGAAUCGUCGUGGUGCCGUAGGGAAGCCGCGAAGCGGGCCACUUGGGAAGUACGGCCGCAAGGCUGAAACUUAAAGGAAUUGGCGGGA